RNAcentral lists this unclassified non-coding RNA (230 nucleotides) under Hevea brasiliensis (rubber tree). Lineage: Eukaryota; Viridiplantae; Streptophyta; Magnoliopsida; Malpighiales; Euphorbiaceae. The record is from RNAcentral.
GCCAUGUAAUAAGGACUACCCACUAUCUCAUUAAAUCUCUCACCAGGUUUAAAGAAGACUGACAAUCCAAAAUCAAUUGCUUUUAAGGGGGCAUUUUCCUUCUUAUUUGCAAAUAGAAAGUUCUCUGGUUUGAGAUCACGAUGCAUAACUCCAUGUUUAUGGCACAUCUGAACAACUUCCACAAUAGUCCGCAUAACCGCAGCAGCAGCCCUUUCAGUGUAAUGCCCCCG